GACGAACGCUGGCGGCGUGGAUUAGGCAUGCAAGUCGAACGGUAGGAUACCUUCGGGUAUCUGAGAGUGGCGAACGGGUGAGUAACGCGUUGGUGACCUGCCCCGAAGAGGGGGAUAACAGUCCGAAAGGAUUGCUAAUACCCCAUGUGGUCGUUUGGAUUAGAUGCCUUAUGACUAAACGGAUUUAUUCGCUUCGGGAGGGGCCUGCGUCCCAUCAGCUAGUUGGUGAGGUAAUAGCUUACCAAGGCGAUGACGGGUAGGGGACCUGAGAGGGUGGCCCCCCACAAUGGAACUGAAACACGGUCCAUACACCUACGGGUGGCAGCAGUAGGGAAUAUUGGUAAUCUGGGAAACCGGGAACCAGCAACGCCGCGUGCGCGAUGACGGCCUUCGGGUUGUAAAGCGCUUUUUAAAGGGAUGAGGAAGGACAGUACCUUUAGAAUAAGCCUCGGCUAACUACGUG
RNAcentral lists this ribosomal RNA (463 nucleotides) under uncultured bacterium. RNAcentral describes it as "bacterial SSU rRNA". It matches the Rfam family "Bacterial small subunit ribosomal RNA", at positions 28 to 507 of the family's 1533-position model. The record is from RNAcentral.